AUUGAACGCUGGCAGCAGGCCUAACACAUGCAAGUCGAGCGGAUGAAGGGAGCUUGCUCCUGGAUUCAGCGGCGGACGGGUGAGUAAUGCCUAGGAAUCUGCCUGGUAGUGGGGGAUAACGUCCGGAAACGGGCGCUAAUACCGCAUACGUCCUGAGGGAGAAAGUGGGGGAUCUUCGGACCUCACGCUAUCAGAUGAGCCUAGGUCGGAUUAGCUAGUUGGUGGGGUAAAGGCCUACCAAGGCGACGAUCCGUAACUGGUCUGAGAGGAUGAUCAGUCACACUGGAACUGAGACACGGUCCAGACUCCUACGGGAGGCAGCAGUGGGGAAUAUUGGACAAUGGGCGAAGGCCUGAUCCAGCCAUGCCGCGUGUGUGAAGAAGGUCUUCGGAUUGUAAAGCACUUUAAGUUGGGAGGAAGGGCAGUAAGUUAAUACCUUGCUGUUUUGACGUUACCAACAGAAUAAGCACCGGCUAACUUCGUG
This 484-nucleotide ribosomal RNA is filed under the name uncultured bacterium. RNAcentral describes it as "partial 16S ribosomal RNA". It matches the Rfam family "Bacterial small subunit ribosomal RNA", at positions 30 to 507 of the family's 1533-position model. The record is from RNAcentral.